CACUCCUGCGGGAGGCAGCAGUGGGGAAUAUUGGACAAUGGGCGCAAGCCUGAUCCAGCCAUGCCGCGUGAGUGAUGAAGGCCCUAGGGUUGUAAAGCUCUUUCACCGGUGAAGAUAAUGACGGUAACCGGAGAAGAAGCCCCGGCUAACUUCGUGCCAGCAGCCGCGGUAAUACGAAGGGGGCUAGCGUUGUUCGGAUUUACUGGGCGUAAAGCGCACGUAGGCGGACUAUUAAGUCAGGGGUGAAAUCCCGGGGCUCAACCCCGGAACUGCCUUUGAUACUGGUAGUCUUGAGUUCGAGAGAGGGGAGUGGAAUUCCGAGUGUAGAGGUGAAAUUCGUAGAUAUUCGGAGGAACACCAGUGGCGAAGGCGGCUCACUGGCUCGAUACUGACGCUGAGGUGCGAAAGCGUGGGGAGCAAACAGGAUUAGAAACCCUAGUAGUCCCAUG
Molecule: ribosomal RNA, 449 nt
Filed under: uncultured organism
Description: partial 16S ribosomal RNA
Rfam family: Bacterial small subunit ribosomal RNA
Source: RNAcentral